CCUUCUCUAUAAACAAGUCAUCUAAACAUCCUUCCUUUUCCUUGGCUUUUUCUUCUCAUGAGAUUCUAACAACUGGCUAGGCCGCCAUGCAUGCUCUCCAUCCAUCAUUUUCAAAGACAUUUCUAAGCUUGUUUGUCUCUUUAUUUAAGUUAAGAAAGGACAGCUCCAUCAGCGGACCUUAACAGCUUGUUUGUUUCUUUAGGUGAUAGUUUCCAUGAAUCUCCCACAACCUGCAACUUACAAGAAGUGGAGAUGAAAGAGAGGUGCAGUACUCACUUGACUAAGCUUCCUGAAUGUGUUUCAUAGAUAUAGGGGUCCUACACUCCAUUUUCUACAAACAAAUCAUCUAAACAUCCUUCCUCUUCCUUGGCCUUUUCCUCUCAUGAGAUUCUUACAACUGG
RNAcentral lists this long non-coding RNA (401 nucleotides) under Vitis vinifera (wine grape). RNAcentral describes it as "long non-coding RNA (VVIN_LNC007686)". The record is from RNAcentral. Lineage: Eukaryota; Viridiplantae; Streptophyta; Magnoliopsida; Vitales; Vitaceae.